CUGAGUACGGCGGAACACGUGAAAUUCCGUCGGAAUCCGGGAGGACCAUCUCCCAAGGCUAAAUACUCCCUAGUGACCGAUAGUGAACCAGUACCGUGAGGGAAAGGUGAAAAGCACCCCGGAAGGGGAGUGAAACAGUUCCUGAAACCGUGUGCCUACAAGUAGUUAGAGCCCGUUAAUGGGUGAUAGCGUGCCUUUUGUAGAAUGAACCGGCGAGUUACGAUUUGUUGCAAGGUUAAGCGGAAAAAGCGGAGCCGUAGCGAAAGCGAGUCUGAAUAGGGCGCAUAAGUAACAGGUCGUAGACCCGAAACCAGGUGAUCUACCCAUGUCCAGGAUGAAGGUAAGGUAAUACUUACUGGAGGUCCGAACCCACGCACGUUGAAAAGUGCGGGGAUGAGGUGUGGGUAGCGGAGAAAUUCCAAUCGAACUUGGAGAUAGCUGGUUCUCUCCGAAAUAGCUUUAGGGCUAGCCUCGAGGUAAAGAGUCAUGGAGGUAGAGCACUGUUUGGACUAGGGGCCCUUCUCGGGUUACCGAAUUCAGAUAAACUCCGAAUGCCAUGUACUUAUACUCGGGAGUCAGACUGCGAGUGAUAAGAUCCGUAGUCGAAAGGGAAACAGCCCAGACCACCAGUUAAGGUCCCCAAAUAUAUGUUAAGUGGAAAAGGAUGUGGGGUUGCUUAGACAACCAGGAUGUUGGCUUAGAAGCAGCCACCAUUGAAAGAGUGCGUAAUAGCUCACUGGUCGAGUGACCCCGCGCCGAAAAUGUACCGGGGCUAAACAUAUUACCGAAACUGUGGAUGAACCUCUUUAGAGGUUCGUGGUAGGAGAGCGUUCUAAGGGCGGUGAAGUCAGACCGGAAGGACUGGUGGAGCGCUUAGAAGUGAGAAUGCCGGUAUGAGUAGCGAAAGAAGGGUGAGAAUCCCUUCCACCGAAUAUCUAAGGUUUCCUGAGGAAGGCUCGUCCGCUCAGGGUUAGUCGGGACCUAAGCCGAGGCCGAUAGGCGUAGGCGAUGGACAACAGGUAGAGAUUCCUGUACCAGUGCUAAUUGUUUAACCGAUGGGGUGACACAGAAGGAUAGGGAAUCGCACGAAUGGAAAUGUGCGUCCAAGCAGUGAGUGUGAGAAGUAGGCAAAUCCGCUUCUCGCGAAGCAUGAGCUGUGAUGGGGAAGGAAAUUAAGUACGGAAGUUCCUGAUUUCACGCUGUCAAGAAAAGCCUCUAGGAAGAGUAGUACUGCCCGUACCGCAAACCGACACAGGUAGAUGAGGAGAGAAUCCUAAGGUGAGCGAGAGAACUCUCGUUAAGGAACUCGGCAAAAUGACCCCGUAACUUCGGGAGAAGGGGUGCUCUAUUAGGGUGCAAGCCCGAGAGAGCCGCAGUGAAUAGGCCCAGGCGACUGUUUAGCAAAAACACAGGUCUCUGCAAAACCGUAAGGUGACGUAUAGGGGCUGACGCCUGCCCGGUGCUGGAAGGUUAAGAGGAGUGCUUAGCUUCGGCGAAGGUACGAAUUGAAGCCCCAGUAAACGGCGGCCGUAACUAUAACGGUCCUAAGGUAGCGAAAUUCCUUGUCGGGUAAGUUCCGACCCGCAC
RNAcentral lists this ribosomal RNA (1587 nucleotides) under Listeria monocytogenes. RNAcentral describes it as "partial 23S ribosomal RNA". It matches the Rfam family "Bacterial large subunit ribosomal RNA", at positions 408 to 1993 of the family's 2925-position model. Lineage: Bacteria; Bacillati; Bacillota; Bacilli; Caryophanales; Listeriaceae. The record is from RNAcentral.